GGGUUCAGAACGUCGUGAGACAGUUCGGUCUCUAUCUAUCGUGGGCGUAUGAAAUUUGCGUGGCUCUGACACUAGUACGAGAGGACCGUGUUGGACAGACCUCUGGUUUACCGGUUGUGCCGCCAGGUGCAUCGCCGGGUAUCUAAGUCUGGAUCGGAUAAGUGCUGAAAGCAUCUAAGUACGAAGCCGGCCACAAGAUAAGAUUUCU
This 208-nucleotide ribosomal RNA is filed under the name Bacteroides caecigallinarum. RNAcentral's name for it is "partial 23S ribosomal RNA". It matches the Rfam family "Bacterial large subunit ribosomal RNA", at positions 2607 to 2814 of the family's 2925-position model. The record is from RNAcentral. Lineage: Bacteria; Pseudomonadati; Bacteroidota; Bacteroidia; Bacteroidales; Bacteroidaceae.